This 483-nucleotide ribosomal RNA is filed under the name uncultured bacterium. RNAcentral's name for it is "partial 16S ribosomal RNA". It matches the Rfam family "Bacterial small subunit ribosomal RNA", at positions 30 to 507 of the family's 1533-position model. The record is from RNAcentral.
UUGAACGCUGGCGGCAUGCCUUACACAUGCAAGUCGCGCGGCAGCGCGGACUUCGGUCUGGCGGCGAGUGGCGAACGGGUGAGUAAUACAUCGGAACGUACCCUGUUGUGGGGGAUAACUAGUCGAAAGAUUAGCUAAUACCGCAUACGACCUGAGGGUGAAAGUGGGGGACCGCAAGGCCUCACGCAGCAGGAGCGGCCGAUGUCUGAUUAGCUAGUUGGUGGGGUAAAGGCCCACCAAGGCGACGAUCAGUAGCUAGUCUGAGAGGACGAUCAGCCACACUGGGACUGAGACACGGCCCAGACUCCUACGGGAGGCAGCAGUGGGGAAUUUUGGACAAUGGGGGCAACCCUGAUCCAGCAAUGCCGCGUGUGUGAAGAAGGCCUUCGGGUUGUAAAGCACUUUUGUCCGGAAAGAAAUCGCGCUGGUUAAUACCUGGCGUGGAUGACGGUACCGGAAGAAUAAGCACCGGCUAACUACGUG